AGUGAACGCUGGCGGUAGGCCUAACACAUGCAAGUCGAACGGCAGCACAGUAAGAGCUUGCUCUUACGGGUGGCGAGUGGCGGACGGGUGAGGAAUACAUCGAAAUCUACUUUUUCGUGGGGGAUAACGUAGGGAAACUUACGCUAAUACCGCAUACGACCUACGGGUGAAAGCAGGGGAUCUUCGGACCUUGCGCGAUUGAAUGAGCCGAUGUCGGAUUAGCUAGUUGGCGGGGUAAAGGCCCACCAAGGCGACGAUCCGUAGCUGGUCUGAGAGAAUGAUCAGCCACACUGGAACUGAGACACGGUCCAGACUCCUACGGGAGGCAGCAGUGGGGAAUAUUGGACAAUGGGCGCAAGCCUGAUCCAGCCAUACCGCGUGGGUGAAGAAGGCCUUCGGGUUGUAAAGCCCUUUUGUUGGGAAAGAAAGGCAGCAGGUUAAUACCCCGCUGUUCUGACGGUACCCAAAGAAUAAGCACCGGCUAACUUCGUG
Molecule: ribosomal RNA, 492 nt
Filed under: uncultured bacterium
Lineage: Bacteria
Description: partial 16S ribosomal RNA
Rfam family: Bacterial small subunit ribosomal RNA
Source: RNAcentral